UACAGAGGUCUCGAGCGUUGUUCGGAUUCAUUGGGCGUAAAGGGUGCGUAGGUGGCGUGGUAAGUCUGGUGUGAAAUCCCGGGGCUCAACCCCGGAACUGCACUGGAUACUGCCAUGCUUGAGUACUGGAGAGGAGAUUGGAAUUUACGGUGUAGCAGUGAAAUGCGUAGAUAUCAGGAGGAACACCGAUGGCGAAGGCAGGUCUCUGGGCAUUAACUGACGCUGAGGAGCGAAAGCAUGGGGAGCGAACAGG
Molecule: ribosomal RNA, 253 nt
Filed under: uncultured bacterium
Lineage: Bacteria
Description: partial 16S ribosomal RNA
Rfam family: Bacterial small subunit ribosomal RNA
Source: RNAcentral